Molecule: microRNA, 21 nt
Filed under: Nematostella vectensis (starlet sea anemone)
Lineage: Eukaryota; Metazoa; Cnidaria; Anthozoa; Actiniaria; Edwardsiidae
Description: nve-miR-2026-3p
Source: miRBase by way of RNAcentral
CAUCAGUGGGUAUUUGAAGUU